Molecule: ribosomal RNA, 440 nt
Filed under: uncultured bacterium
Lineage: Bacteria
Description: bacterial SSU rRNA
Rfam family: Bacterial small subunit ribosomal RNA
Source: RNAcentral
CCUACGGGUGGCAGCAGUGGGGAAUCUUGGACAAUGGGCGCAAGCCUGAUCCAGCCAUGCCGCGUGAGUGAUGAAGGCCCUAGGGUUGUAAAGCUCUUUCGGCGGGGAAGAUAAUGACGGUACCCGCAGAAGAAGCCCCGGCUAACUUCGUGCCAGCAGCCGCGGUAAUACGAAGGGGGCUAGCGUUGCUCGGAAUCACUGGGCGUAAAGCGCACGUAGGCGGCUUCUUAAGUCAGGGGUGAAAUCCCGGAGCUCAACUCCGGAACUGCCUUUGAUACUGGGAAGCUCGAGUUCGGGAGAGGUGAGUGGAACUGCGAGUGUAGAGGUGAAAUUCGUAGAUAUUCGCAAGAACACCAGUGGCGAAGGCGGCUCACUGGCCCGAUACUGACGCUGAGGUGCGAAAGCGUGGGGAGCAAACAGGAUUAGAUACCCUUGUAGUC